CAGCCACAGCCUUUGGACUUACGGAACCCCAUCAUCUUUAGAAUGACGGAAAACCUGGAAAUGGAAGGAGUAAGAACGUUUUGAUCAUAGUGAAGAAAUACUAGUCGAACCAAAAAGUAUGGACAUCCCCUUACAUCUGAGUAGAGGCCCAGCAACCAUCAGUGUGUGUUGUCGUAACGCCAUGUUAACUUCACGUAAACAAAAUGUUAUUGUGCUUUGUGCAAAUAUUAAAGAGGUAUCCAAAAUUCAACCCCUUUGAUUGUGCAUCAGAACCAAUCCUUAUACAACUA
This is a long non-coding RNA of Agrilus planipennis (emerald ash borer), 290 nucleotides long. RefSeq lists it as uncharacterized. The transcript has 3 exons. The record is from RefSeq and is a predicted model, not a curated record. NCBI's taxonomy places the organism in Eukaryota, Metazoa, Arthropoda, Insecta, Coleoptera, Buprestidae.